AUUGAACGCUGGCGGCAGGCCUAACACAUGCAAGUCGAAUGGUAACAGGAAACAGCUUGCUGUUUCGCUGACGAGUGGCGGACGGGUGAGUAAUGUCUGGGAAACUGCCUGAUGGAGGGGGAUAACUACUGGAAACGGUAGCUAAUACCGCAUAACGUCGCAAGACCAAAGAGGGGGACCUUCGGGCCUCUUGCCAUCAGAUGUGCCCAGAUGGGAUUAGCUAGUAGGUGGGGUAACGGCUCACCUAGGCGACGAUCCCUAGCUGGUCUGAGAGGAUGACCAGCCACACUGGAACUGAGACACGGUCCAGACUCCUACGGGAGGCAGCAGUGGGGAAUAUUGCACAAUGGGCGCAAGCCUGACGCAGCCAUGCCGCGUGUAUGAAGAAGGCCUUCGGGUUGUAAAGUACUUUCAGCGGGGAGGAAGGGAGUAAAGUUAAUACCUUUGCUCAUUGACGUUACCCGCAGAAGAAGCACCGGCUAACUCCGUG
RNAcentral lists this ribosomal RNA (490 nucleotides) under uncultured bacterium. RNAcentral describes it as "partial 16S ribosomal RNA". It matches the Rfam family "Bacterial small subunit ribosomal RNA", at positions 30 to 507 of the family's 1533-position model. The record is from RNAcentral.